Molecule: long non-coding RNA, 1524 nt
Organism: Panicum hallii
Lineage: Eukaryota; Viridiplantae; Streptophyta; Magnoliopsida; Poales; Poaceae
Exons: 3
Source: RefSeq, a predicted model, not a curated record
CUCGAUUUGGCCGCCGCACCCAAAAAUCGCGCCAGCCUCCUCCGUCCCGUCCGCGCCGCCCAGCCUCCUUCCUCCCGUCUGCCACCGCCAGGCAGCCGCCCGCCGCGGCCCCCUCCCCCGGGAUCCACCGCGUGGCACUGCCCCCCGCCGCCCGCCAGGCAACCCCGCCGGCCAGGGCACUGCCGCCCGCCUUACAUCAACAAUCUCUCCUUGAUUUCUGUUCUGCUCGAGAGAGGACGGAUGGAUUCUUGCUCCGUCAGACCGGAGCUGCAUCUUUUCUGAUCUGAACAAAUUUGUUCCCACUGUGCUCUGUGCAGCGGCAAGGCUCGAUGAUUUGUGAUCGAAGGGAGAGAUGCUGCCGAGGGAUCCGGCGAGUUCGCCAUCAGCGAUGGGGAGCCCGCUAUUGCGCCCAAGAGGCGGCGUCAAGCCUGAUGGUCUCGCCUAUCUCAGGCGGCCGCAAAGGUGUUCGUGGGAAUGCUUCUCAAGUCGUCCACUCCUUUUCAGGCGCCGUCGCAUCGCUUAACGACUCCAGUCUCAAGUGCACAGUCUAGAGGAAAGCAUGUCCGUGAUUAUCAUGAUCAGAGGAUACGGUAAUUCACGCACCAGAUUCCCUGGGGUUUUUGGGACAUUUUCUGAUGCUGCACCAGGUUUUGUUGCUCUGUUUGAGGUGUAAAUUUCUGCAUCAUUUCGUUGUCGUAUCAUUGCCUUGGGUCCUAUAUGAUCACUGAACUAAGGAUAAACCUGGACGGUGGCAAAAUAUUGUUCAGCGCUGUCAUAUGAUAGUUGCCAUUUCAAAUUCACAUCAUUCUUAUAUUCUAAUUAGAACACUAUGCAUGUUGACAAUCUUGCAUUCAGACAUGAUGGUUACUCGAUUGAAAAUGAAGGAUGCAUUUUCUUGUACACGGCCGCAAGCUACCUGAUCUGUGGUUUCUUAACAUGAGAACCAAAAAAAAUGGGUUCCAUUGUUACUCCAAUUUUUUUAUGGCAUGUCGCCUUCAGUGUGAAUAAUCAAUAAUCCAGAAUCAAAGAUGGAAUCAAUUGCCCAACCGAUGCUGCUGGGAACCAGUGAUGUCUUUAUCAUUUCACAUGGUGGCAGUUGAGAUAUCAAAGUCCAUAUCAUCAGAAAUGGAACACGCCAGGAAAUGAAAUACCUAAUGGUUUAGUGAUUCGGGGAUGUGAGUUGGCUAUGUAUGGUCGUUUGCUAUUUUGUUUAAGUACUCAGGCUCAUCGAGUACUCAGUCAAAGGUGGAUGGUGUCAAUGGAGGCCGGUUAUUUUGCACUUUGUAGGCUGCUCCACUCUUUUGUUAAUGAAUGAGCGCUUCUUUUGAUGGCUGAUGAAGAUUGAUGGUGGUGGUGGUAGCUGCUGCACUUGUUUAGCGCUGUUAUGAAUAUGUUGCACGGCUGCUAUGACCAUGUUAUGUGGUUGUUGUAAAUAAGUUAUAUGCUUAUGAACAAGUAGUUAUGAACAAGUUAUGUGGUUAUUAACAAGUUAUGCCUUGACGAACAAUUUAUUAUUAACAUGAU